Molecule: ribosomal RNA, 207 nt
Filed under: uncultured bacterium
Lineage: Bacteria
Description: partial 16S ribosomal RNA
Rfam family: Bacterial small subunit ribosomal RNA
Source: RNAcentral
AGCGCAGGCGGGAAGACAAGUUGGAAGUGAAAUCCAUGGGCUCAACCCAUGAACUGCUUUCAAAACUGUUUUUCUUGAGUAGUGCAGAGGUAGGCGGAAUUCCCGGUGUAGCGGUGGAAUGCGUAGAUAUCGGGAGGAACACCAGUGGCGAAGGCGGCCUACUGGGCACCAACUGACGCUGAGGCUCGAAAGUGUGGGUAGCGAACA